GGUAGAUUAGGGCCAGCAGGGCACGUGGCUUGGGACCGUGUGGAGAGUGCGGGCGCUGGACAGCAGCUCCGGCCCCUCACCGACGCGCAGCCCGCGCCUGGGCCGACCUGUUGACUGAAAAUCAGCCGGCGCUUGGCCAGAUGCGUCGAUGGAGGCCCGCAGCCCAGCGACGACGUGGUAGUCAUGGCUGAAGCGGCGCCUGCCCCGCCAAAUGCAGAGAAGAGCUCAUACCUCUAUUCCAUAGAAAUCACACUGUGGACCGUGGUGCCUGCUGUUCAGGCCUUGGAGAAGAAAAGUGGAUUCUUGCCUGGCCCGCUUGCUGACUCUGGAGGGAUGCUCAGGGACAGCAGAGAAGAAGCUGGCUGACUGUGAGAAGACAGCUGUGGAGUUCAGCAGCCAGCUGGAGGGCAAGUUGGCCGUGCUGGGGACCCUGCCUCAGGAGUCUAGGCUGCUGCAUGAAGAACCUCAUGGGCAACUGGAACUUCUGGGUCCAGCGGCUUCCCCCUGGCAACAAGGGGGAGGUCCCCAAGAGUGGGCCAAGCUGGAGGACUGGCAGAAGAGGCUCGACAAGCAUGUGAUGGGGGCAGCUAUGAGAUGCUCGUUUCCCUGGGUAUUUCUCUGAGUCCAGAGCAGGCCCCAAGUCCAGCUAGCCCUGCCCAGGAGGAACUGAAUCAAAGGCAGACACCUGAGCAGCAGCAAGAGGAAGCAACCAUGAUUCCACCUGAGCCAGGCACUGGGAUUCCAGCAAGCACCAGCCCUUUAUCACUUAAACAGGAGGAAGAAUCUGCAGAGGGAGGAGAGUUGCCACCCUCCCCUUCCACAGAUAGCCUGCUUUCUGUGGAGCCAGGAUCUUGCCAUCUGUCUCAGAAUGAACUCAUGGACCUAGAUGAGGGAGGGGAGUGACUUGCCUGUAUGUCACCCAUCCCAAACAAAUCCACCAAGGUGUGUGCUGCAGGACUCUAUGCAGGGUCCCUGGCCCCUGGCUUUUGCAGCUUGCUUCCUUCUCUGGUGUUCUUAGCUCAGCUUCCAGGAAUGAGGCAUAAGACAGCAAGCAAAGUUGAACAAUACAUGAGACACUCCUGCCCCGUGGUGUCUAUGACUAGGACCCCUGGCCUGAUCUAAUGGCACUCACAAAGACUGGGGAAGGGAGGGGAGGCCUGAACCUGGAGUAAGGCCUGGAUCGAAUGGCAGGGGAAGCCAUGAGGUCCCCUUGGAACCAGCAAUGAUUCCUAUGACCAUCAAGACAGAAGCCCCAUCUGAGGAUCAACCUGAGCAGAACCUUCUGCAGUCCUGCAGCCAGUCCGUAUUUAGAGUCCACAGAAGGACCAGGAUUAAGACCAGGGGCCACAGAUGGCAUCACACGGAUUGGGGAACCUCAGGCAGCAGAGGAUAUGGGAGAGCCACCCUGUAUCCUUCCUCAGCCACAGAAGCAGGCAUUCCUGUGCCCUGACUGUGGGCAGAGCUUCUGCUUGAAGAUUAAUCUGACAAUCCAUUAGCAGACCCAUGUAGAAAAGAAACACAAGGAGGCUUGGAGUGGCUUGCCUAUUAGGUCAGGGAAAAGCCACUCCACACUGGAACCAGAGAAAGUGGUGGUGCCAGGCCCUGUCAUCCACUGGCCACCUGAGGAGCCCACAAGCCACCGGUCUCCAACAAGCCAUGCCUUCAUGAGACAAAGGCCAGCAACUACAGUUUACCACUGUAGUGAAUGUCUUCACUCCUUUCAGCAACAGAAGAGCCUGGUAUUACACCAGCAUCAGCACACAGGCAAGAGGCAGAGCUGGCCUGCCUGUCCCUACUGUGGCAAGGCCUCCCGCCGGCCCUCAGACCUCUUUUGUCACCAGUGUAUCCAUACUGGUGAGCGUUCCUAUCAGUGCCCCCAGUGUGGCAAGGAGCCACCACCUGGCUGUCCACAUGCAGACUCAUUCCUGAGGCUAAACAAUCCUGCAUUUCCUCUUGCUUUCUGUCCUCCAGGGAAGUCCAGCCCUGCAAGGGCCCAGCUCUGAACAGGACAGGACCUGCACUGUCUCAGGGCCUUUCCCUUGUGCCUGCCAAGUGGUGGAAGUUCCUUCACUUUCCAGCUGAGUUGGUACUUUAGGGGCCCUUCAAAAGCACAAGCUCCAGACCAGGAAUUUGAGGUGAUAGUGUCAUGCCUCAAAGUCAUGAGAGCGGGUGCUUCAUGUGCCUCUUUGUCACAGCACCUUGGGGACAGCCUUGUGGAGCUUCUGGAGCUGGGUGAUGGAUUCCAAUUCUGAUAGUUUGCUCUCUUGUUUGGCACUCAGACACCAGAGCACAUGAAGGCUCCCAGGUGCCUUCAUCCCUGGCUGUGCUAUUGCUAAAGUCCUGCAGACUCUGUAGCCACUCAGAAGUCCUGCACAGACGAGGCAGAGGGUGACACUGCCGUCAUUCCCAGGGUAGGGGUAUGACUGGCAAGACUGUGGCAUGCAGCCAUGGUUCUGGACGUUACUUGCCUGCACACCCAACCGUUGUUUAGGCCCUGCAAGCAAGACAGCAGUUGUCAGUAAGCGCUCAGACUGAACGUGGACAGUAUAGCUGCCCCAAACUUAAUCCUCCGCUGCAAGCACUCAUGUUGCUGUUCUGGGGGUUCCUAGGCCUCUCUUCUAAUGCUUUAGAUGUUCUCUGGAAAACAAGUAUUCAUAUUUGAAGCACAAAUCCAAGUGCUGGGGUGGGGGAAGAGGCGCUGUAUAAUCCUGGCUCGCCUUGGGCUUGCAGUGAAUUUUUUUCCCCUACCUCUAUCUACCUACUAGGAUUUCCUUGCUUGUGCCAUUAUGCACAACUGGGCUUACUGCAUUUAACCUGAAAUUCAAUAGGACAGGUUAAAGAGUAUUUUGAGUUAAGAAUGAACAAAGGCUGCAUGGUUGCCUGAGCUCAAAGACGUUGGAUCCCAGAUUCUGAUGACUUAUUUUGUAAAACAAAGAUAUGGUUGGGUUGGUUACAAGGCCCUAAGAACCAUGGAGGUGGAAAUAUUAACUUAAUCGGUGCUCUAUAAAUACACUGGAAAAUGUAGCUGCGUGUUUGUGGCCUAGUUUGUUCUGGGGAGUCUCAACAUGUGACCCUAGUGGUUGGCGUGGCUCUACAGCUCAAAGGUGAACGGAGCUCAACACCUAGUGCUCACACCUGCGGGGCUGAGACGAAACGCUAGCGAACGCUAUGCAGCUUGUGCUCCCAGCUAGCCAAUAGAGUCUGGCUUCUCUACCGUCAGGGGCGGAACCUCCAGGGCUAGCCAAUGGGGAGCCGCCUUGUGGAGGGUGUGGCCUGCGUUUCUGCCGCGGGAGCAGCGAGGACGUCUAGGUCUCAAACUGCCAACUGCGUCCAAGACGACCAUCCUGAUUCUGUAUCGUGAGGCCAGGAAGGGCCGCCUGUAGGGGACACAGCGGCUACAACAAGACGAAGCAGAAUCGCGCGCAGCCAUGACUGAGGCGGCCGCUGCACCGGUAAGGGUGGCCCUUACCGAUCAUGUGGGGGAUGUGAAGCGGUUCCUGAAUUCGCCGGGAGGACAUCUUACCACCUCCUAAAAUUGGGUAGAGCUCAGCCAGGUAGUCAGGGAGGAGGACUAGGAGGUCUGUUGCCACAUGAUUAAGUCCUUGUCUCCUUUGCCACGGGUUUGAUCAUUUGUAAUAUACGGCCGUUGAGCUUCACCAGGAAAUAUCUGGGCCCGGUGCACCGGCUGCGGUCGUUUUUACUCCACGACUCCUUUUUUCCAGGACCUCUUUGCUCCAUCUCGCAAGUAUUAGCCAUCUCCGAUCAAAUCCCGAGCUAAGGCCCCCUCCAGUUAGCCCUCUUGGUCCUGGGACCUAGAAUCUAGCUCCUGCCUAGGAGGGAGGGUUCCACGGCCUUUCGGGCCUGAAUUCGAUUCUAUUAAGAGUAGAUACAUACUUCCUCGCUUGUUGUUUUUUGAUGAACACCGGGAAGACUUUCCUACUGCAACUAGUUAGGGAAUCAGUGUUAUAGAAAACGUUGGGUAGGCGUGUUUUAGGUUCAGGUGAGUGAACUACUGAGAUGAGAUUUACAGUCCCUGAAGGUAGGAGGCAUCUCCUGCUAGCAAUAGCUUUGCAGUGACUUCAAAGACAUUUCUUGGUGUUAGAUUUGUGGCAAAGGAUCCCAGAGAGACGAAGAUAUUUGACCUUUAUGUGUGAAGACUGCCUCCUCCCAACCACAUUUUGUUGUAUGGGUCAGUGGUCACAGACCUCAGGAUGGAGUGAGGAAGAGAGAAGUUUCUAGUGACAAGUAUCUUACUGUGUGGGACACUUUGCUGUGUCUUUUUUAUGGAAGAUAUCUUGGGGGAAGUUUAAUGUCACAAAAUUGUAUUCGUUACAGUCUUUGGUUUAGAACAUAUAACACAUUCUGACCAAUAGUCAGGAACCUUCAUGUUUAUUGGUAAUACAAUAUAUAAUAAAUGUC
RNAcentral lists this long non-coding RNA (4419 nucleotides) under Mus musculus (house mouse). RNAcentral's name for it is "zinc finger protein 783". The record is from RNAcentral. Lineage: Eukaryota; Metazoa; Chordata; Mammalia; Rodentia; Muridae.